Molecule: ribosomal RNA, 897 nt
Filed under: uncultured bacterium
Lineage: Bacteria
Description: bacterial SSU rRNA
Rfam family: Bacterial small subunit ribosomal RNA
Source: RNAcentral
AGAGUUUGAUCAUGGCUCAGAACAAACGCUGGCGGCGUGCCUAAUACAUGCAAGUCGAACGAGGAAGUACCUUUCGGGUAUUGUACUAGUGGCGUACGGGUGAGUAACGCGUGGAUAAUCUUCCUUAAAGUGGGGAAUAACUAGUCGAAAGAUUAGCUAAUACCGCAUAAGACCACAGGGACUUCGGUUCAAGGGGUUAAAGGCUUCGGCCGCUUUAAGAUGAGUCUGCGCCCGAUUAGCUAGUUGGUGAGGUAACGGCUCACCAAGGCGACGAUCGGUAGCUGGUCUGAGAGGACGGCCAGCCACACUGGGACUGAGACACGGCCCAGACUCCUACGGGAGGCAGCAGUAGGGAAUAUUGCACAAUGGAGGAAACUCUGAUGCAGCGACGCCGCGUGAGUGACGAAGGCCUUCGGGUUGUAAAGCUCUGUUCUCAGGGAAAAAGAUAGUGAUUGUACCUGAGGAGAAAGGACCGGCUAACUUCGUGCCAGCAGCCGCGGUAAGACGAGGGGUCCAAGCGUUGUUCGGAAUUAUUGGGCGUAAAGCGGGUGUAGGUGGCUCUAUAAGUCAGGAGUGAAAGCCCCGAGCUUAACUUGGGAAGUGCUUUUGAUACUGCAGAGCUUGAGUGUGGGAGAGGAUCGUGGAAUUCCAAGUGUAGUGGUGAAAUACGUAGAUAUCUGGAGGAACACCGGUGGCGAAGGCGGCGAUCUGGCCCAACACUGACACUGAGACCCGAAAGCGUGGGGAUCAAACAGGAUUAGAUACCCUGGUAGUCCACGCCGUAAACGAUGGAUACUUGUUGUUGGAGGUAUUGACCCCUUCAGUGACGAAGCUAACGCGUUAAGUAUCCCGCCUGGGGAGUACGGCCGCAAGGUUAAAACUCAAAGGAAUUGACGG